This 165-nucleotide ribosomal RNA is filed under the name uncultured bacterium. RNAcentral describes it as "partial 16S rRNA". It matches the Rfam family "Bacterial small subunit ribosomal RNA", at positions 355 to 512 of the family's 1533-position model. The record is from RNAcentral.
UAGGGAAUCUUCCACAAUGGGCGCAAGCCUGAUGGAGCAACACCGCGUGAGUGAAGAAGGGUUUCGGCUCGUAAAGUUCUGUUGUUAAAGAAGAACACGUAUGAGAGUAACUGUUCAUACGUUGACGGUAUUUAACCAGAAAGUCACGGCUAACUACGUGCCUAG